This is a small nuclear RNA of Artibeus jamaicensis (Jamaican fruit-eating bat), 130 nucleotides long. The record is from RefSeq and is a predicted model, not a curated record. NCBI's taxonomy places the organism in Eukaryota, Metazoa, Chordata, Mammalia, Chiroptera, Phyllostomidae.
GUGUUGUAUGAAAAGGAGAGGUCAGCACUUCCUGUGGCAAGGGUGAAAGAGGCCCUUGUGCCUGGAAACAUGCAUAUGGUAUAUGGUUAAGGCGUUGACAGUACUUUGUGGUAUAUAAUCAUAUUUUUAU